Non-coding RNA from Cebus imitator (Panamanian white-faced capuchin), 767 nucleotides. Lineage: Eukaryota; Metazoa; Chordata; Mammalia; Primates; Cebidae. The record is from the annotation of a RefSeq genome assembly.
CACUGACAGAUGCACCUUGUGGGGUAAAAUGUCCCAAAGUAUCUUUUUUUUUUUUUUUUUGCUUAUGUGCAUAAGAACCCUGGUCUGGAAUGUGCCACACCUGCUCUCACGCCACCAUGGACUCCUGUACCCUCUGUGUGUCCAUUUGUAUCCUGAUAGCCACAUGCACAGAUGCUGGCAUUAUCCAGUCACCCAAGCAUGAGGUGACAGAAAUGGGACAAGCAGUGACUCUGAGAUGUGAGCCAAUUUUAGGCCACAAUCUCCUUUUCUGGUACAGACAGACCUUGGUGCAGGGACUGGAAUUGCUGUGUUACUUCCGCAGCCGAUCUAUUAUAGAUGACGAACAGAUGCCCAAGGAUCGAUUCUCAGCUGAGAGGCCUAAUGGAUCGUUCUCUACUCUGAAGAUUCAACCUACAGAGCAGGAGGACUCCGCUGUGUACAUCUGUGCAAGCCGCUUAGCCACAGCACUGCAGAAUCACCCCCUCUCUGUGUAGAAACCCUGGUGCUUCCUCUUCUCCCCACAGCUCCCAGCAGUCCCGAGCAAAGUCUUUCCUGCUCCUCCCUCCUCACAAGAAUAUUUAAGUGGGUUUGGAUCAUGGCAAAGACAGAAGAUGGUACAAUUUUAACAUACAAAAUCUUGUGUAGGAGAUAAUGUAGAAAAUGUGUUUUGCAGAUUGUAUAUGGAGUCAGAACUCACACACAGGUAGGGUAAACCUUAAUCAUUGAUACGGUAGGUUUCCCUGCCUUCUUCCAUUCACCACCCUCCA